RNAcentral lists this non-coding RNA (27 nucleotides) under Mus musculus (house mouse). Lineage: Eukaryota; Metazoa; Chordata; Mammalia; Rodentia; Muridae. The record is from RNAcentral.
UGAGGUGCUGGGACUGAGGGAGUGUGU